CCGUCGAUAGCUCAGUUGGUAGAGCGGUGGACUGUAGAUCCAUGAAAGGUCGCUGGUUCGAAUCCGGCUCGACGGA
Trichonephila clavipes is the source of this 76-nucleotide non-coding RNA. The record is from the annotation of a GenBank genome assembly. Lineage: Eukaryota; Metazoa; Arthropoda; Arachnida; Araneae; Nephilidae.